RNAcentral lists this transfer RNA (68 nucleotides) under Lemniscomys rosalia (single-striped grass mouse). RNAcentral's name for it is "tRNA-Phe". It matches the Rfam family "tRNA". From Rfam's summary of the family: Transfer RNA (tRNA) molecules are approximately 80 nucleotides in length. Their secondary structure includes four short double-helical elements and three loops (D, anti-codon, and T loops). Further hydrogen bonds mediate the characteristic L-shaped molecular structure. tRNAs have two regions of fundamental functional importance: the anti-codon, which is responsible for specific mRNA codon recognition, and the 3' end, to which the tRNAs corresponding amino acid is attached (by aminoacyl-tRNA synthetases). tRNAs cope with the degeneracy of the genetic code in two manners: having more than one tRNA (with a specific anti-codon) for a particular amino acid; and 'wobble' base-pairing, i.e. permitting non-standard base-pairing at the 3rd anti-codon position. Lineage: Eukaryota; Metazoa; Chordata; Mammalia; Rodentia; Muridae. The record is from RNAcentral.
GUUAAUGUAGCUUAACAAUAAAGCAAAGCACUGAAAAUGCUUAGAUGGAUAAAUAAAUCCCAUAAACA